GCCGGACGUGGUGGGGCACACCUGUAAUCCCUGCAACUCAGGAGGCUGAGACCGGAGGAUCACAAGUUCAAGGCCAGCCUCAGAAACUUUGUGAGGCCCUAUCUCAA
Molecule: small RNA, 107 nt
Filed under: Marmota monax (woodchuck)
Lineage: Eukaryota; Metazoa; Chordata; Mammalia; Rodentia; Sciuridae
Source: RNAcentral